GUGCUCGCGCGGGCAGCAUGUAUACUGAAAUUGGAACGAUGCAGCAGAGAUUAGCAUGGCCCCUGGGCAAGGAUGACACACAAAUUUGCAGUGUCUCAUAUUUAA
RNAcentral lists this small nuclear RNA (105 nucleotides) under Catagonus wagneri (Chacoan peccary). The record is from RNAcentral. Lineage: Eukaryota; Metazoa; Chordata; Mammalia; Artiodactyla; Tayassuidae.